UCCGAUUUGUCACCGGCAGUCUCCCUAGAGUCCCCGACAUAACUCGCUUUAACUAGCAUGUCAAACCCAGGUAAGGUUCUUCGCGUUGCAUCGAAUUAAGCCACAUGCUCCGCCGCUUGUGCGGGCCCCCGUCAAUUCCUUUGAGUUUUAGCCUUGCGGCCGUACUCCCCAGGCGGGGUGCUUAAUGCGUUAGCUUCGGCACGGAACGGGUUGAAGACCGCCCCACACCUAGCACCCAACGUUUACGGCUGGGACUAC
This 258-nucleotide unclassified non-coding RNA is filed under the name uncultured Actinomycetes bacterium. RNAcentral's name for it is "uncultured actinobacterium contains 16S-23S intergenic spacer region". Lineage: Bacteria; Bacillati; Actinomycetota; Actinomycetes. The record is from RNAcentral.